GUUAUAUAUUUAUUUUACGAUUAACUUACCUGUUGUUGAGCCGAGACAUCCACCAAAAGGGCCACCAAUAGCAACGCAAAUAAGAGGAGCUCCACUUUCGUCCGCAUUGCGAUCUCUGCGACGAACAAUCGAUCGAGUUUAAUAACGAGCACAACGAUCGAAUAGCUGGCUUCUGCUAUUUUCGUGUUGUCGUUUUAUAAACUUGGACCGUGAUGGGAGAAUUAUUGUUCCAAUACUCGUGCAUACAAUCAGAUCUCUCAAUUGAAGAUCGUUCGUCUAGAAUGUACGAUGGCUUAAUUUCGAAAAUUCCCAAUAAUAAUAACGCGCACGAACGGCCAAUCCAGCUUGGGUCAACGUAACCAACGAUAAAUCUCUGAGACCUUAAUAGGAGCAACGAAGCGAUAACCCAGAUACUUGGAAAUCACGAUUCUUUACGAAUGUUCGUAACAAACUUGAACGCGUAUUGCACGCAAUACAGUUCCUUCGUUUCUCUAACGCCUGUAAAUAUGCCUCGCUGCAAAUAGGAACGAUAAAAACCUAUUUAACUUAUUGUCUCUUCCUUUGAAUUGAUGACGAGAAACGAAGGUCGACGUUGAACUCAUCGGCUAAGUAUGAACGCCCACUUAUGUUUAUGAAAUUUCUUCAUUUGCGUCUCAAUUCUCUUCCUUCCAGUUUUAAAACGGCUUAAUUAUAUCUUUUAAUUAAUCGAGUUCUUGAAUUUUUAAAGAGAGUUAUGAGUUUAAUCCAAUUGAAUCAAAAUGUUGAAUCAUCUUUGAGAAAGGAAUAUAAUAAAACAAAGUGGUUAAAUAUCUGUAAAAUAUAAUCCUUGUACAAUGAUUUGUAGCAAAUUAAAACACAUUUUUCUAGCUUCCUACUGGUUUAAAUAUAGCUCGGUCAGUUUAUGCGUAAGGUUCAUUCAGUUUGAUUAUAUUUGCAGCAUAGAAUUUCCGUUACGCGUCAGCUUUUUCUUUGAAUCCAUUAUUUCUUUUUAUCGUAAACCUAGAUUUUAUCAAUUACACAUUGUAUUAAAAUAAAAAAUAUGCGAAUUUAUUACCUACGUAUGCUAACUAAACAAUUAUUUGAGUUUAAGAAAGAAUCUCCUGGCUAAAUGGACAGAUUUAAUUCAUAUUUAUUCUUAUUUUUUCAAACAUAGUCAAAUUAUUACUCGUAUCAUUACCAAAAUCUGUAUCACGAAAUUCUUUUAAAGAUGUUAAGUGCAAAUAUGAUAGAAAAAAAAAAUAAGUAGUUAAUAUAAAGUUACCUUCUUCCUCUAAAUGAAACAAAACUUCUUCUAAACAGUUCUGCGUAUACGCAUACACGGUGGACGUUAAUUCCUCGAAGAAACAUAUUCAUUAUUUGCCUUUUCUACGAAACGACAUUAAUCCUAGAGCACAACUAUGCCUCGCAGACUAUAAAAGAAAUAUAACUUACACAAAAUAAAAAAGGAAAAAAUCUCUACAACUUUAUCCCAAUUUCGAUCGUAUCGUGUAGCUGCAAAUAAUGCUGCGAUCUUCUUAGAGCGACAAUGAAGGAAGAGAAUGAUGUUCACAAGAAGAUUUUUUUGAUAUGUGUUUACGAACGACCUUUGAUAAAACGAGAGUUCGCAAGUGUGUCGCAACAACAAGAACCAGCAAUACAACGAAGAAUUUAUGAAGAGGCGAGUGCAGAAAUCGCGAACAGCCCUGUUUUUAUCUCUUCUUUGAUCAGCGCCCACGAAAUUAUAAAGAGGAUGUUUGAUUUCCGUUCUGAAAGGAACAAUUUCCGAGGAGUUUGCGACAAGAUAAAAUUGUGACAAACGCCCACUAAUAAAGCGUAUAUAUUCCAAGACAAAGUAUAAUUCCCGCUUGUGUUAUAGACACAUUAAAGUGCUCCUAUUUAUUUAAUUAGAGAAACAGAUUCAAAGCAACUUCCUUCCCUCGAUGAUUUUAAUUAGAUAUUUAUUAAUGUCUUCCGUGUAAAGAAAUUAACAGUACUGUUUUAAUAAAAUUUUUAUAUUUCCUUUUUGUAUUUUGUAGAAUUAAAUUUAUAAUUUUGAACAUUUAUUUGAAUAACUUAACUUUAUCUUAAGUGUACAUUCCAAAAAUAGGAUGUAAAAUAUUUUGACCUCUUUAGCGUUAUCUAACAAUAACAAAAUUAAGAAAUUAAAUCGAUAAUUUAAAAUAGAUUUGAAUAUAUAUAUAUAUGAAAUUAUUUUAAGAUAAAUAAUAAUUCUUAAAUAAUUCAUUGUUAAUAAUUUAUUAUUUUAUAAAACUAAUGAAGAGUAAUCAAAAUUAAAAUUAUUCGAAAAUUAGUUAUGCAAAAAUGUUUUAAAUAUCGAACAGAAAUCUGUUACUUGUGUAAAAAAUUAGAACAUUCAAGUAAUUCUUGUGUACACUUAAUAUAAAUAUAUUCAUUCACUCUUGCGAUAACUUUCAAUCUAUCAAAUUAAUUUCUUGAAACAAUCUAAUCAAUAUAUAUCGUAAAAAAAAAUUCCAAAGUCUUUUAUAUACUUCUAAUAAAAAUAUCCUUGACAACAUCAAACCUAAUGAAUUUUUAUCACAAAUUACCAACUUUUAAUAAGUGAAUAUUUCAUAAUAAAUAAAAUAAUAAUUAAAACGAUGUAACGAAAACUAAAUAUACGCAAUUUACCCAAAAA
Long non-coding RNA from Apis cerana (Asiatic honeybee), 2635 nucleotides. RefSeq lists it as uncharacterized. Lineage: Eukaryota; Metazoa; Arthropoda; Insecta; Hymenoptera; Apidae. The record is from RefSeq and is a predicted model, not a curated record.